AGGUGAUUAGUCUAAGUAAAAUACUUGAUUUCGGCUCAAGAGUCUGUGGUUAAAGUCCACAAUUGCCUAAUGACCCCCACUCACUUUACAAUCUCCUCAGCCUUUCUAUUAGGUAUAAUAGGCUUAGCGUUUCAUCGAACACAUCUCCUCUCUGCCCUUCUCUGUUUAGAAGCCAUAAUACUUGCCCUAUUUAUUGCACUCUCCCUCUGGUCCUUGCAGUUAGAUGCCACUGGCUGUUCAACUGCCCCCAUACUUAUGCUUGCUUUCUCCGCUUGUGAAGCAAGUGCUGGACUAGCCCUACUUGUAGCCACAGCCCGAACACACGGGACAGACCACAUACAAGCCUUAAAUCUUCUACAAUGCUAAAAAUCCUAAUUCCUACUUUAUUUCUUCUCCCAACAACCUGAUUAACGUCAAGUAAAUGACUUUGACCUACUGCUCUAACCCAAAGCAUAUUAAUUGCCUUAGGCAGUAUUACCUGACUAAAUAAUACUACGGAUACCGGAUGGACUGCUCUUAACUCAUAUAUUGGCACAGACCCCCUAUCAACACCUCUACUUGUCCUUUCAUGUUGACUUCUUCCGCUAAUACUCCUUGCAAGUCAAAAUCAUCUUUCGUCAGAACCUAUAAACCGCCAACGUAUAUACAUCACCCUUCUUGCUACCCUGCAGCUUUUUCUUAUUCUAGCCUUUGGUGCUACAGAAAUAAUUAUAUUCUAUGUUAUAUUUGAAGCAACUUUAAUUCCUACUCUUCUAGUAAUUACUCGCUGAGGUAAUCACACAGAACGGCUUAAUGCAGGGACUUAUUUUUUAUUUUAUACAUUAGCGGGAUCUCUACCUCUUUUAGUUGCACUCCUUAUACUUCAAAACAACACAGGGACUUUAUCGCUUCUAAUUAUUCCUUAUGCUAAGCCCCUACUACUAAUGCCCUUCGGUAGUAAAAUCUGAUGAGCUGCUUGCAUGAUCGCUUUCUUAGUAAAAAUACCUCUCUAUGGAAUACAUCUUUGACUUCCCAAAGCCCAUGUAGAAGCACCUGUUGCAGGCUCAAUAGUUCUUGCUGCUGUUCUAUUAAAACUAGGGGGAUACGGGAUGAUACGACUGAUGAUUGUACUUGAUCCUCUCUCCAAAGAAAUAGUUUACCCUUUUAUUGUUCUCGCUCUUUGAGGUGUAAUCAUUACAGGUUCAAUCUGUUUACGUCAAACUGACCUGAAAUCUCUAAUUGCCUACUCCUCUGUUAGUCACAUAGGCCUAGUAGCAGGGGGAAUUUUAAUUCAGACCCCUUGGGGAUUUACAGGGGCAUUAAUUCUAAUGAUUGCUCAUGGCUUAGCCUCAUCAGCUUUAUUCUGCCUUGCUAACACCAACUACGAACGGACUCAUAGCCGGACAAUACUUUUAGCCCGAGGACUUCAAAUUGCCCUUCCACUUAUGACCACAUGAUGAUUUAUUGCUAGCUUAGCUAACCUCGCUCUCCCUCCUCUUCCUAAUCUAAUGGGGGAACUAAUAAUUCUCACCUCCCUUUUUAACUGGUCUGCAUGAACUCUAAUUCUUACCGGGAUUGGAACUCUAAUUACAGCUGCCUACUCCCUGUAUAUAUUCCUAAUAAGUCAGCGAGGGCCUCUGCCUCAACAUAUGCUCGCCCUUCCUCCUUCCUACACACGAGAGCAUUUGUUAAUAGCUCUUCACCUAAUUCCCCUUUUACUUAUUAUUCUUAAGCCCGCCCUUCUAUGAGGCUGAUUUGCCUGUAGAUUUAGUUUAACCAAGACAUUAGAUUGUGAUUCUAAAAAUAGAGGUUAAACCCCUCUAAUCCACCGAGAGAGGCCCGACGGCAAUGAAGACUGCUAACUAUCACCCCCUUGGUUAGACCCCAAGGCUCCCUCGAAGCUCCUAAAGGAUAAUAGCUCAUCCGUUGGUCUUAGGAACCAAAAACUCUUGGUGCAACUCCAAGUAGCAGCUAUGCACCCUACAACUUUAAUAUAUACUUCAAGCCUUUUAUUAAUAUUUGCUGUUCUUCUUUACCCACUUUUAGUAACCUUUACAUCUCUACCAUUAAACAAUGAUUGAGCCUCAUCACACGCAAAAACAGCAGUAAAGUCUGCUUUCUUAAUUAGCUUGGCUCCCCUUUCUCUUUUUCUAAGCACAGGUAUAGAGGCUGUAACUUCUUCGUGAACCUGAAUAGUCACAACUACCCUAGAUAUUACCUUAAGCUUUAAGUUCGACCACUAUUCUAUUAUUUUUAUUCCUAUUGCCCUAUAUGUUACUUGAUCUAUUUUAGAAUUUGCUACAUGAUAUAUGCAUUCCGACCCUUUCAUAAAUCGAUUUUUCAAAUAUCUUCUAACCUUUUUGGUAGCAAUGCUAAUCCUAGUUUCUGCUAAUAACCUGUUUCAGCUAUUUAUUGGCUGAGAGGGUGUUGGAAUUAUAUCUUUCUUACUAAUUGGGUGAUGACACGGCCGAGCAGAUGCAAAUACCGCAGCCCUUCAGGCUGUUCUUUAUAACCGAGUCGGGGAUAUCGGUUUAAUCCUAGGUAUGGCAUGACUAGCUACUAACGUUAACAGCUGGGAUAUUCAACAAAUAUUUAUUUUAAGCAAGAAUUUGGACAUAACUCUCCCUCUACUCGGUUUAAUCUUGGCUGCCACUGGUAAAUCCGCCCAGUUUGGACUUCACCCAUGACUACCAGCCGCAAUAGAAGGUCCAACGCCAGUGUCUGCCCUACUUCAUUCUAGCACAAUAGUUGUAGCAGGAAUUUUUCUCCUAAUUCGGAUGAGCCCUCUUAUAGAAAAUAAUCAGACUGCACUAACUCUCUGUCUCUGUCUAGGAGCCUUAACCACUAUAUUUACUGCUACUUGUGCUCUAACCCAAAACGAUAUUAAGAAAAUCGUUGCUUUUUCAACCUCUAGCCAACUUGGUCUAAUAAUAGUAACUAUUGGAUUAAACCAACCGCAAUUAGCCUUUCUUCAUAUUUGCACUCACGCAUUCUUCAAAGCAAUAUUAUUUUUAUGUUCUGGUUCAGUAAUUCAUAGCCUAAACGAUGAACAAGAUAUUCGGAAAAUAGGAGGACUUCAUCAUUUAGCCCCCUUUACCUCCUCCUGCCUCACCGUGGGAAGCCUGGCCUUAACGGGGACCCCCUUCCUAGCAGGCUUCUUCUCCAAAGAUGCAAUUAUUGAAGCACUAAACACAUCUCACGUAAACGCCUGAGCCCUUACCCUAACACUUAUUGCCACCUCCUUUACUGCUAUUUAUAGCCUUCGAGUUAUCUUUUUUGUUACUAUGGGCACACCCCGCUUUUUACCCCUUUCCCCCAUCAAUGAAAAUAACCCAGCAGUAAUUAAUCCCCUCAAACGCUUAGCGUGAGGCGGUAUCUUUGGGGGCCUAUUAGUGAUACUUAAUAUUAACCUUUUUAAAACACCUGUAUUAACAAUACCUGCAGAACUAAAACUUGCAGCUUUAGCUGUUUCAAUUCUCGGAUUAUUAACCGCGCUUGAAUUAGCAACUCUAACAAGCAAACAAUUUAAAGUUACACCUCUACGAACUCCGCACCACUUCUCUACAUCUUUAGGGUUCGUCCCAGCAAUUAUUCACCGCCAAAUUCCUCAACUCAGCCUCCUUCUAGGACAAAAAAUUGCUAGCCAGAUAGUAGAUCAGACAUGACUAGAAAAGACUGGUCCCAAAGCUAUUGCUAAUGCUACCACCCCUCUAGCCUCUGCAACAAGCAACAUACAACAAGGAUUAAUUAAGACCUACCUGACCCUAUUCCUUAUAACCCUUGUUCUAGUCACUCUUAUUUCCGCCACCUAAACGGCACGCAGCGCUCCCCGGGCCAGGCCCCGAGUUAAUUCUAGUACUACUAAGAGUGUUAGCAAGAGGACUCACGCACUUACUACAAGUAAUCCGCCACCUAAAGAAUAUAUUAGAGCUACACCACCCGAGUCUGCAGCCACAACAGAAAAUUCAAUUAACUCAUCUACAGGUACUCACAUCCCCUCAUAUCACCCUCCCCAAAAUCAAGAGCCUGCACCCACAACUAAUAGUAAAUAACCUAACACAGAUCCUAAUACCGAUCACUCCCCCCAUGCUUCGGGGUAAGGCUCUGCAGCUAAAGCUGCACAAUAAGCAAACACAACAAGCAUGCCCCCAAGAUAAAUUAAGAAAAGCACAAGGGACAAGAAGGACCCUCCAUGCCCUAUUAAUACCACACAUCCUACGCCUGCUACUAAGACCAGUCCUAAAGCAGCGAAAUACGGGGAAGGGUUUGAGGCUACCGAAAUAACACCAAGAACUAUCCCAAUUAAAAGAGUCAAUAUAAUAUACGCCAUAAUUCCUGCCCGGAUCUUAACCAGGACUAAUGAUAUGAAAAACCACCGUUGUUAUUCAACUACAAGAACCUUAAUGGCCAGCCUUCGGAAAACCCAUCCAAUCCUAAAAAUUGCUAAUAGCGCAUUAGUUGAUCUCCCCGCCCCCUCCAAUAUCUCAGUAUGAUGAAAUUUUGGCUCUCUUCUAGGCCUUUGCUUAAUUACUCAACUUCUAACAGGACUAUUUCUAGCCAUACACUAUACCUCAGACAUCGAGACAGCCUUCUCAUCCGUAGUCCACAUCUGUCGUGAUGUAAACUACGGCUGACUAAUUCGGAAUAUACAUGCUAAUGGUGCCUCUUUCUUUUUCAUUUGUCUUUAUAUGCACAUUGCCCGAGGUCUCUAUUAUGGUUCCUAUCUUUUUGUAGAGACAUGAAACAUCGGGGUUGUCCUUUUCCUUUUAGUAAUAAUAACCUCUUUCGUAGGUUAUGUCCUCCCCUGAGGACAAAUAUCAUUCUGAGGAGCUACCGUAAUUACGAAUUUAAUAUCUACUGUUCCUUAUGUAGGUGAUGCCUUAGUUCAAUGGAUCUGAGGAGGUUUCUCAGUAGAUAAUGCUACCCUAACUCGGUUUUUUGCAUUCCAUUUCUUAUUCCCCUUUGUUGUUGCUGCUUUUACAAUACUCCACCUACUUUUUCUCCAUGAAACAGGCUCAAAUAAUCCCACAGGAAUCAAUUCAAAUGCAGACAAAAUUCCAUUCCACCCAUAUUUCACCUACAAAGACCUGCUUGGCUUUGCUGUGAUGCUUCUGGGCUUAACCGCCCUCGCCCUCUUCGCACCUAAUUUACUCGGAGAUCCAGAUAAUUUCACCCCUGCUAACCCCAUCGUUACCCCACCUCAUGUUAAGCCCGAAUGAUAUUUCUUGUUUGCCUAUGCCAUCUUACGCUCUAUUCCAAAUAAGCUAGGUGGCGUACUUGCACUCCUAUUCUCGAUUCUAGUCCUCAUGGUUGUACCCUUUCUCCAUACGUCAAAACAACGAGGUUUAACAUUCCGCCCUCUUACCCAAAUACUAUUCUGAGUCCUCGUUGCAGAUAUACUAGUUCUUACAUGAAUUGGAGGCGUACCUGUAGAACACCCCUUCAUUAUCAUCGGACAAGUGGCAUCAGUACUAUAUUUCUCCCUCUUCCUAGUUUUAUUCCCCCUUGCAGGAAUAACUGAAAAUAAGGCCCUUGAAUGAAACUGCCCUAGUAGCUCAGUAUAGAGCGCCGGCCUUGUAAGCCGGAGGCCGGGGGCUAAAUUCCUCCCUAGUGCUACAUCUAAUUAUUACCGGAGGACGCCCCAUAAUUCAUCAUCCACCGGAGGCUGCCCCAUGGAUCAAAAUACCACUCAGAGGGAAGAGAUUUUAACUCCCACCACUAGCUCCCAAAGCUAGAAUUCUAAAUUAAACUACCCUCUGAAUACCACUAAAUAAUCGCCGCCGCCCUUUUUAAAAUCUGAAUACCACUAAAUAAUCGCCGCCGCCCUUUUUAAAAUCUGAAUACCACUAAAUAAUCGCCGCCGCCCUUUUUAAAAUCUGAAUACCACUAAAUAAUCGCCGCCGCCCUUUUUAAAAUAUUGAUUUUCGCUUGAGCUUACCCCUCCUUUUUUCUCCCCCCCCCCCUGCCUCAUAAUAUGUCCUAGAGAUCAUAUUCUUUUUAGUAAAUUAUUAUUUAUACAUAUGUAUAAUCACCAUUAAUUAAGUUAACCAUACAAGGAGAAAUAAUCAUGAAAAGUCAAGCAUUCAGGAUAAAACAACAAUAUAUUUAUAGAACAAAUAUGGUUAUUUUAACCAAUUUAUGGAAUUUAGUGCAAGAAAUUGUAAACAUAACCGGACUUUCCUUGCCAAGGCAAACUGUCCAAUGAAGGUGAGGGACACGUAUUGAAGACCUGCAUUCCGUAACACGUUUCCUGGCUAUUCUGCCUAGCUUCAGGUCCAUUGCUUGACAAUCGCUCAUAAUUUGCACUUUUGUACAUCUCUUAAUGUCUAUACACAUAUAUACUAUAAUCACUCCCCAUGCCGGGCGUUCUUUCUAAUGGGCUACGGGUUUCUUUUUUUUUCUUCAAGUCAUUUGACAUUUCAGCAGUGCAGAGCGUCGACGCCGGACAAGGUGGAGCUAGUCCUCGGUUUAUAGAUAUAUAAAAUUAUUUAUUUAGGUCCCCAUAAAGAAUAAUUACAUUAAAGUUUUUCAAGAGCAUAAGGCUAAAAAUUUUCUCGAUGAGUCCCUAAUAUCUACAUUUUACCCCCUUUGUUUUUGUGCGUAAACCCCCCCUCCCCCCAGUUCUCCUGAGAUUACUAAUAUUCCUGUAAACCCCCCGGAAACAGGAAAAUCCCUAGAACUGAGUUUUUUUUAUCAAAAUAUGACCAAUAAUGUAUAAAUUUGUUGUUAUUGCAUUAUUGCAAAUUAUUAAAAUUU
RNAcentral lists this transfer RNA (6735 nucleotides) under Gadus morhua (Atlantic cod). RNAcentral's name for it is "partial transfer RNA-Arg". The stretch from base 5524 to 5594 matches the Rfam family "tRNA". Lineage: Eukaryota; Metazoa; Chordata; Actinopteri; Gadiformes; Gadidae. The record is from RNAcentral.